Long non-coding RNA from Ziziphus jujuba (common jujube), 2634 nucleotides. RefSeq lists it as uncharacterized. The record is from RefSeq and is a predicted model, not a curated record. The transcript has 2 exons. Lineage: Eukaryota; Viridiplantae; Streptophyta; Magnoliopsida; Rosales; Rhamnaceae.
AAAUUUGCUUUUCCUUCUUAUUCUCAACUUUAGUUCUUUGUUUUUCUUUUAUUAAUAUAUGUGUAAUAUUUAAUGUAUAAUUAUGUGUAAUUUAAUAUAUGUGUAAUAUUUUAAUGUAUAAUUCGAGGGUAUGCUAUUCUUUUAUAUCUUGAAAAAUCGCCAUUAGGUCCUCUGCUUUUGAUUUUAAUUAUUAUUAUUUUCUUUUGAUAUUUUAUUAAGUAAAUUAAAGUUGGAUUAAAGAAUUGGAUCUUGAUAGUCUCUUUGUUAAUUUGUAAUUACUGUGAAUUAUAAUUUUCCAAAUUGGGUCUUUGUAGAAUGAAAAGUGAAAUUAACAAACAACUUCAAACCAUUAAACUAUUCUCUGUUUUGCAAUAUAAAGAGUAUGUAAAACGCAUACAUCUAUGUUUAUAAGAUUCUAUUUUUAUUUUUUUUAUUCAAUUUUCUAAAUGAUUAAUAUAUUUUUCCCCAUAUAACUGACUGUAAAAUUUGGCUUUUAAGGUUGUUCUUAGAACUAAACCAGUAAUAAAACAUUUUCUUCCAAAUAAUCUUUAAUAUAUUAUAAGCUACCCUCAAAAUUGGUUUCUUGGUCUCGUAAGCAUCAAGGAAAAAAGGGACUAAGAGAAGGCUUUUUUUUUUUUUUUUUUUUUGUGAGUUUGCAAAAAACUAUGAUGAAGAAAAAUAUGACAUAACUUAAAGGAGUCUCAUUGCACCAAAUGUGAUGAUUUAUGAACAUGAUGGCUUAGAAUUAUUGUUUAUUGUUCAUCGAACUUGGUGAAGUUCUUUUGAAGUUUGUAUUUGGUUGGAAAGUUUUGUUAUAAGUUAGAAAGAAAUAAUUUUUGUUGAAACUAUUUGUUUAGAUUCACUUGUUUAAGAAUGGUUCCUUCUUUUAGUAAAACGAUAGAUUUGUUCCUCUUUAUCAUUUAGGACAUAUCAGGAUUUAGGAAUUGUAGUUUCUGAAGUUUGACAAUGAUAAGAAGUUGGAAAAAAUAAUUAUAAUAAUAAUAAUUGUAUAUCUUACAACUUCUUAAUCUACACAACCUUACUUGAUAAUCUUCUCAUAAGGACCAGCAUUUUUAUGAAACUGGAAUUUCAUGUAGCCAAAUGAAUUGACAAGUGAAGUUCCACAUCGGUUGGAAAGGAAAACGAAGCAUGGCUUAUAAGUGUGUGGAUACCUUUCCUUUGUAAACGCGUUCCUACGAAAAAAAGUAAAACUAUGAGGGUAGGAUUGAACUUACCACCUAAUUUCCAAAGCGGACAAUAUCUCGAUUGGACUGAUAGGUAGGGCUUGAAUUGACAUGUUAUGAACAUUAGUUUCUUCGUAUUAACCAAAAAGCAUAAACCAAAAACUAUAUAUAUUAUUUACUUCUUUCUAUGUUUUCCAAAAAGCAUAAACCAAAAACUAUAUAUAUUAUUUACUUCUUUCUAUGUUUUUUCUGUCCACUUUCUGUUUUUAGUUUUGACUGUCAAUCUGGGACUCAUUGAUGUUCUUUUGUUAGAUUUUCUAAAGGCCAAAUGUCUGAUGAACUAUGAGAUUGCCAUUCUUCUUAAGCAUAGAUGUGAUCAACUCAAGCAUAUGUCUGAUGAUUCAUUGAAACAUCUUCCUCAAUAUGAUAUGUUUUUUUUAACCACCAAAAAAAAAAAAAAAAAAAAAACCUUCAUUGCAGGCUGCUUUAUAUGAAUUCUUCAUAUUCCAUUUCAAUUCAUAUCUUGCAGAUUUGAUUUCCCAAGAUUUCUCUUAUUGUUAUUAGAAUCUAAUUUCUUCUUCAGAGUGUUCAAGAAAGCGCUGCAAUACGUUAAACGCUUCAGCCGAUUCACUAAUCAGGAUGCUGUAAAGCAAGUUAGAGAGUGUCCUUCAUUCUUUACACAAUCUUCUUUUUGCACCUUCAUGGUAAAUUUUCUGAUGAAUUUGUCUUUCUACAAUGCUGACAUUGUUCUAUGACUAGUUUAGCAGCUACCUAGUGCAGAGUUUAAUCCUAGUAACUGCAGCUUCUUAGGAAACAAAUGCUUUAGGAUUAUUCAAACUGUCAUUUUAUUACAUAGGGUGAGUAGUAGAAAAAGUUAUUCAAAUAAAUUCUUUUAUGUGUGUUUUUAUAUGUGUCUUUCUUCUUUUUAAUAUGUGUGUUGUUUGUUACUUAAGCAACAUACAGAGUCCUUAGUAGGUACCAGUUGGCUGAAUAUGAGGUACUUUUUUUCUCACAUACUGAUAUAUGGAAUUAUAAGAUAUGGUUUUUAUAUUGAAACAAUAACAAUAACAGUUUAAUUACUACUAUACAUUUAUCAUACGCUAUAGUUGGCUGUGCUUGGUGGAAAUCUUUGCCUGAAACUGUAGAGGACGCUAAGGCUGUUGUGCCUUCUCUAAAGAUUCCUUAUAUUUGCAGACGAAAGGACGAAGCCAUGACGAUGAAGCAAUAGAGAAAUUGUUGAAUGACGUACUGAUGGUAAAGAAAUUUGAGUGAGUUUCUCAGUGUUUUCUUUUUGCUUAAAUAUCAUGAAUAAAACGUACUUGGCUGUGGUAGAUUAUAUAUCAUUUGUCCUCAAUCCUUUGCCAAUAAGAUGCUCAUGUUGAAAGAUUAUAUAUCAUUUGUCCUCAAUCCUUUGCCAAUAAGAUGCUCAUGUUGAACACAUAGUACUUCA